UCGGCCGUGGUGUAAUUGGCAACACUUCGGGUUUUGGUCCCGACAUUCUAGGUUCGAGUCCUAGCGGCCGAG
RNAcentral lists this transfer RNA (72 nucleotides) under Catenuloplanes atrovinosus. RNAcentral describes it as "tRNA-Gln". It matches the Rfam family "tRNA". Rfam says of the family: Transfer RNA (tRNA) molecules are approximately 80 nucleotides in length. Their secondary structure includes four short double-helical elements and three loops (D, anti-codon, and T loops). Further hydrogen bonds mediate the characteristic L-shaped molecular structure. tRNAs have two regions of fundamental functional importance: the anti-codon, which is responsible for specific mRNA codon recognition, and the 3' end, to which the tRNAs corresponding amino acid is attached (by aminoacyl-tRNA synthetases). tRNAs cope with the degeneracy of the genetic code in two manners: having more than one tRNA (with a specific anti-codon) for a particular amino acid; and 'wobble' base-pairing, i.e. permitting non-standard base-pairing at the 3rd anti-codon position. The record is from RNAcentral. Lineage: Bacteria; Bacillati; Actinomycetota; Actinomycetes; Micromonosporales; Micromonosporaceae. RNAcentral also lists the same sequence under 5 other names.